Molecule: ribosomal RNA, 501 nt
Filed under: uncultured bacterium
Lineage: Bacteria
Description: bacterial SSU rRNA
Rfam family: Bacterial small subunit ribosomal RNA
Source: RNAcentral
AUUGAACGCUGGCGGCAGGCCUAACACAUGCAAGUCGAGCGGCAGCACAGAGGAACUUGUUCCUUGGGUGGCGAGCGGCGGACGGGUGAGUAAUGCCUGGGAAAUUGCCCGGUAGAGGGGGAUAACCAUUGGAAACGAUGGCUAAUACCGCAUAACCUCGCAAGAGCAAAGCAGGGGACCUUCGGGCCUUGCGCUGCCGGAUAUGCCCAGGUGGGAUUAGCUAGUUGGUGAGGUAAGGGCUCACCAAGGCGACGAUCCCUAGCUGGUCUGAGAGGAUGAUCAGCCACACUGGAACUGAGACACGGUCCAGACUCCUACGGGAGGCAGCAGUGGGGAAUAUUGCACAAUGGGCGCAAGCCUGAUGCAGCCAUGCCGCGUGUAUGAAGAAGGCCUUCGGGUUGUAAAGUACUUUCAGUAGGGAGGAAGGUGGUUAAGCUAAUACCUUAAUCAUUUGACGUUACCUACAGAAGAAGCACCGGCUAACUCCGUGCCAGCCGCCGC